UCCCUGGAGGAUUAGUGGUUAGGCCUCGGCUCUCUCACCGCUGCAACCCGGGUUCAAUUCCUGGCCAGGGAA
Molecule: non-coding RNA, 72 nt
Organism: Pangasianodon gigas (Mekong giant catfish)
Lineage: Eukaryota; Metazoa; Chordata; Actinopteri; Siluriformes; Pangasiidae
Source: the annotation of a GenBank genome assembly